Molecule: ribosomal RNA, 472 nt
Filed under: uncultured bacterium
Lineage: Bacteria
Description: bacterial SSU rRNA
Rfam family: Bacterial small subunit ribosomal RNA
Source: RNAcentral
UCGGGAAUUUUGGACAAUGGGCGAAAGCCUGAUCCAGCAAUGCCGCGUGCAGGAAGAAGGCCUUCGGGUUGUAAACUGCUUUUGUACGGAACGAAAAGGCUCUUUCUAAUAAAGAGGGCCCAUGACGGUACCGUAAGAAUAAGCACCGGCUAACUACGUGCCAGCAGCCGCGGUAAUACGUAGGGUGCGAGCGUUAAUCGGAAUUACUGGGCGUAAAGCGUGCGCAGGCGGUUCUAUAAGACAGAUGUGAAAUCCCCGGGCUCAACCUGGGAAUGGCAUUUGUGACUGUAGAGCUAGAGUACGGUAGAGGGGGAUGGAAUUCCGCGUGUAGCAGUGAAAUGCGUAGAUAUGCGGAGGAACACCGAUGGCGAAGGCAAUCCCUGGACCUGUACUGACGCUGAGGUGCGAAAGCGUGGGGAGCGAAACAGGAUUAGAUACCCCCGUAGUCCCUGAGCGGGCUGGCAAGGCGCAU